Molecule: ribosomal RNA, 254 nt
Filed under: uncultured bacterium
Lineage: Bacteria
Description: partial 16S ribosomal RNA
Rfam family: Bacterial small subunit ribosomal RNA
Source: RNAcentral
UACGUAGGCAGCGAGCGUUGUUCGGAGUUACUGGGCGUAAAGGGUGUGUAGGCGGUUCUUUAAGUUUGGGGUGAAAUCUCCCGGCUCAACCGGGAGGGUGCGCCGAAUACUGAGGGACUUCGAGUGCGGGAGAGGAAAGUGGAAUUCCUGGUGUAGCGGUGAAAUGCGUAGAUAUCAGGAGGAACACCGGUGGCGAAGGCGGCGUCCUGGACCAACACUGACACUGAGGAGCGAAAGCCAGGGGAGCAAACGGG